UGGGUUAAAUUCGGCAAACCGGGUUUCGAAAAACUGGAUUUCGACCAACUGGGCCGGGAUGAUACCAACAGGGAUCGCCUACAGUGUAGUGGGUAAAGAAGGAAUAUACACAGGAAAAUGGCGAAAAGUGUGGCGCUUUUCAUAUAAACAAUACGUAGGGCCUAUGCAGAGUUGAAAGAUUACGAAGAAGACUUUAAAAUUAAUAACAAUUGAUGUAGACAAAGAAUACACAUACGUCAGGAAAGGAUGUCCGGACUCGAUCGUGAAAGGGCUACAUAACUUACCAACUUAUAUAGACUAAUGUUAUCACUCAUCAAGCUUCUCGCAAAAAAAAAAAAAUAGAUAUGAAAUAAUUAUUUAAAUAUAGUGUGAAUUUAAGUAUUUUUAAA
Long non-coding RNA from Anneissia japonica, 389 nucleotides. RefSeq lists it as uncharacterized. The record is from RefSeq and is a predicted model, not a curated record. The transcript has 3 exons. Lineage: Eukaryota; Metazoa; Echinodermata; Crinoidea; Comatulida; Comatulidae.